This 260-nucleotide long non-coding RNA is filed under the name Lathyrus oleraceus (garden pea). RNAcentral's name for it is "Pisum sativum (pea) long non-coding RNA (PSAT_LNC001203)". The record is from RNAcentral. Lineage: Eukaryota; Viridiplantae; Streptophyta; Magnoliopsida; Fabales; Fabaceae.
GAUGAAUGUUGAGACAUGUUGUAGGACUUUUGAGAAAAGUUUCUUUGCCCUAGCUGAGCUUUCCUGAGAAGAUGAAUGGAGAAGGAGAUUGUUGCGUUUAGGUUGAGUGUGCUAAGGGAAUAGAUACUAUUUUCAAUGCCAGGGAAUGAUUUAUCAUUAAUGUGGCUUUUUCUUUUAAAAGGGUAGACACUAUUUUUAUUUUCUUUAUUUUUCCACUUUAACUGCCAUAAUUUCACAAGAGUCCAAAUCCCUAAUUUCCC